GCAGACUAGAGUGUGGUAGGGGAGACUGGAAUUCCUGGUGUAGCGGUGAAAUGCGCAGAUAUCAGGAGGAACACCGAUGGCGAAGGCAGGUCUCUGGGCCACUACUGACGCUGAGAAGCGAAAGCAUGGGGAGCGAACAGGAUUAGAUACCCUGGUAGUCCAUGCCGUAAACGUUGGGCGCUAGGUGUGGGACUCAUUCCACGAGUUCCGUGCCGCAGCUAACGCAUUAAGCGCCCCGCCUGGGGAGUACGGCCGCAAGGCUAAAACUCAAAGGAAUUGACGGGGGCCCGCACAAGCGGCGGAGCAUGCGGAUUAAUUCGAUGCAACGCGAAGAACCUUACCAAGGCUUGACAUAUACCGGAAACAUCCAGAGAUGGGUGCCCCUUUUGGUCGGUAUACAGGUGGUGCAUGGUUGUCGUCAGCUCGUGUCGUGAGAUGUUGGGUUAAGUCCCGCAACGAGCGCAACCCUCGUUCUAUGUUGCCAGCACGUGAUGGUGGGGACUCAUAGGAGACUGCCGGGGUCAACUCGGAGGAAGGUGGGGAUGACGUCAAAUCAUCAUGCCCCUUAUGUCUUGGGCUUCACGCAUGCUACAAUGGCCGGUACAAAGGGCUGCGAUACCGCAAGGUGGAGCGAAUCCCAAAAAACCGGUCUCAGUUCGGAUUGGGGUCUGCAACUCGACCCCAUGAAGUCGGAGUCGCUAGUAAUCGCAGAUCAGCAACGCUGCGGUGAAUACGUUCCCGGGCCUUGUACACACCGCCCGUCAAGUCACGAAAGUCGGUAACACCCGAAGCCGG
RNAcentral lists this ribosomal RNA (795 nucleotides) under unidentified microorganism. RNAcentral describes it as "bacterial SSU rRNA". It matches the Rfam family "Bacterial small subunit ribosomal RNA", at positions 636 to 1430 of the family's 1533-position model. The record is from RNAcentral.